CUUCAUGAAGCUGGAAUUGCUAGUAAUGGCAGGUCAGCAUACUGCCGUGAAUACGUUCCCGGGCCUUGUACACACCGCCCGUCACACCAUGAGAGUUGGGAAUACCCGAAGCCUGUGAGCUAACUUAUAGAGGCAGCAGUCGAAGGUAGAAUCAAUGAUUGGGGUGAAGUCGUAACAAGGUAAC
This 184-nucleotide ribosomal RNA is filed under the name uncultured bacterium. Its description in RNAcentral is "partial 16S ribosomal RNA". It matches the Rfam family "Bacterial small subunit ribosomal RNA", at positions 1316 to 1500 of the family's 1533-position model. The record is from RNAcentral.